CCCUUAGAUGUCCGGGGCCGCACGCGCGCUACACUGAAGGAAUCAGCGUGGCUUUCUCCCUGACCCGAAAGGGUUGGGAAACCCGUUGAAUCUCCUUCGUGAUAGGGAUUGGGGCUUGAAAUUGUUCCCCAUGAACGAGGAAUUCCCAGUAAGCGCGAGUCAUAAGCUCGCGUUGAUUACGUCCCUGCCCUUUGUACACACCGCCCGUCGCUACUACCGAUUGAACGGUUUAGUGAGGGCCUCGGAUUGGUCUCGGCCCGCUCUUUACCGGGCAGCGCCGUUGGUCGAGAAGACGCUCGAACUUGAUCGUUUAGAGGAAGUAAAAGUCGUAACA
This 334-nucleotide ribosomal RNA is filed under the name uncultured eukaryote. RNAcentral describes it as "partial 18S ribosomal RNA". It matches the Rfam family "Eukaryotic small subunit ribosomal RNA", at positions 1470 to 1796 of the family's 1831-position model. The record is from RNAcentral.